This 252-nucleotide ribosomal RNA is filed under the name uncultured Bacteroidales bacterium. RNAcentral describes it as "partial 16S ribosomal RNA". It matches the Rfam family "Bacterial small subunit ribosomal RNA", at positions 524 to 776 of the family's 1533-position model. Lineage: Bacteria; Pseudomonadati; Bacteroidota; Bacteroidia; Bacteroidales. The record is from RNAcentral.
UACGGAGGAUGCGAGCGUUAUCCGGAUUUAUUGGGUUUAAAGGGUGCGCAGGCGGAGGCACAAGUCAGCGGUAAAAUCGCGGGGCUCAACCCCGCUCCGCCGUUGAAACUGUGUCCCUUGAGUGCGCGAAGGGUAGGCGGAAUGCGUGGUGUAGCGGUGAAAUGCUUAGAUAUCACGAAGAACUCCGAUUGCGAAGGCAGCUCACUGGACUGCAACUGACACUGAGGCUCGAAAGUGUGGGUAUCAAACAGG